This 1353-nucleotide ribosomal RNA is filed under the name Pseudarthrobacter sulfonivorans. RNAcentral describes it as "bacterial SSU rRNA". Lineage: Bacteria; Bacillati; Actinomycetota; Actinomycetes; Micrococcales; Micrococcaceae. The record is from RNAcentral.
CUCACUUGUGGGGGGAUUAGUGGCGAACGGGUGAGUAACACGUGAGUAACCUGCCCUUAACUCUGGGAUAAGCCUGGGAAACUGGGUCUAAUACCGGAUAUGACUCCUCAUCGCAUGGUGGGGGGUGGAAAGCUUUAUUGUGGUUUUGGAUGGACUCGCGGCCUAUCAGCUUGUUGGUGAGGUAAUGGCUCACCAAGGCGACGACGGGUAGCCGGCCUGAGAGGGUGACCGGCCACACUGGGACUGAGACACGGCCCAGACUCCUACGGGAGGCAGCAGUGGGGAAUAUUGCACAAUGGGCGAAAGCCUGAUGCAGCGACGCCGCGUGAGGGAUGACGGCCUUCGGGUUGUAAACCUCUUUCAGUAGGGAAGAAGCGAAAGUGACGGUACCUGCAGAAGAAGCGCCGGCUAACUACGUGCCAGCAGCCGCGGUAAUACGUAGGGCGCAAGCGUUAUCCGGAAUUAUUGGGCGUAAAGAGCUCGUAGGCGGUUUGUCGCGUCUGCCGUGAAAGUCCGGGGCUCAACUCCGGAUCUGCGGUGGGUACGGGCAGACUAGAGUGAUGUAGGGGAGACUGGAAUUCCUGGUGUAGCGGUGAAAUGCGCAGAUAUCAGGAGGAACACCGAUGGCGAAGGCAGGUCUCUGGGCAUUAACUGACGCUGAGGAGCGAAAGCAUGGGGAGCGAACAGGAUUAGAUACCCUGGUAGUCCAUGCCGUAAACGUUGGGCACUAGGUGUGGGGGACAUUCCACGUUUUCCGCGCCGUAGCUAACGCAUUAAGUGCCCCGCCUGGGGAGUWCGGCCGCARGGCUAAAACUCMAAGGAAUUGRCGGGGGCCCGCMCMRGCGGCGGRGCWUGCGGWUUAWUUCGAUGCAACGCGAAGAACCUUACCAAGGCUUGACAUGAACCGGUAAUACCUGGAAACAGGUGCCCCGCUUGCGGUCGGUUUACAGGUGGUGCAUGGUUGUCGUCAGCUCGUGUCGUGAGAUGUUGGGUUAAGUCCCGCAACGAGCGCAACCCUCGUUCUAUGUUGCCAGCGCGUUAUGGCGGGGACUCAUAGGAGACUGCCGGGGUCAACUCGGAGGAAGGUGGGGACGACGUCAAAUCAUCAUGCCCCUUAUGUCUUGGGCUUCACGCAUGCUACAAUGGCCGGUACAAAGGGUUGCGAUACUGUGAGGUGGAGCUAAUCCCAAAAAGCCGGUCUCAGUUCGGAUUGGGGUCUGCAACUCGACCCCAUGAAGUCGGAGUCGCUAGUAAUCGCAGAUCAGCAACGCUGCGGUGAAUACGUUCCCGGGCCUUGUACACACCGCCCGUCAAGUCACGAAAGUUGGUAACACCCGAAGCCGGUGGCCUAAC